CCUUUGACGUUAGCGGCGGACGGGUGAGUAACACGUGGGUAACCUACCUAUAAGACUGGGAUAACUUCGGGAAACCGGAGCUAAUACCGGAUAAUAUUUCGAAACCGNCAUGGUUAGAUAGUGAAAGGUGGUUUUGCUAUCACUUAUAGAUGGACCCGCGCCGUAUUAGCUAGUUGGUAAGGUAACGGCUUUACCAAGGCGACGAUACGUAGCCGACCUGAGAGGGUGAUCGGCCACACUGGAACUGAGACACGGUCCAGACUCCUACGGGAGGCAGCAGCC
Molecule: ribosomal RNA, 282 nt
Filed under: uncultured Staphylococcus sp.
Lineage: Bacteria; Bacillati; Bacillota; Bacilli; Caryophanales; Staphylococcaceae
Description: partial 16S ribosomal RNA
Rfam family: Bacterial small subunit ribosomal RNA
Source: RNAcentral